This 498-nucleotide ribosomal RNA is filed under the name uncultured bacterium. Its description in RNAcentral is "partial 16S ribosomal RNA". It matches the Rfam family "Bacterial small subunit ribosomal RNA", at positions 28 to 523 of the family's 1533-position model. The record is from RNAcentral.
GAUGAACGCUAGCUACAGGCUUAACACAUGCAAGUCGAGGGGUAGCAGGGUAGCAAUACCGCUGACGACCGGCGCACGGGUGAGUAACACGUAUCCAACCUUCCCAUAACUCGGGGAUAGCCUUUCGAAAGAAAGAUUAAUACCGGAUGGUACUUUUUCAAGGCAUCUUGAGAAAGUUAAAGAUUUAUUGGUUAUGGAUGGGGAUGCGUUCCAUUAGAUAGUUGGUGAGGUAACGGCUCACCAAGUCUUCGAUGGAUAGGGGUUCUGAGUGGAAGGUCCCCCACAUUGGUACUGAGACACGGACCAAACUCCUACGGGAGGCAGCAGUGAGGAAUAUUGGUCAAUGGGCGAGAGCCUGAACCAGCCAAGUAGCGUGAAGGAUGAAGGUCCUAUGGAUUGUAAACUUCUUUUAUAGUAGAAUAAAGUGAUCCACGUGUGGAUUUUUGUAUGUAUACUAUGAAUAAGGAUCGGCUAACUCCGUGCCAGCAGCCGCAGUAA